Molecule: ribosomal RNA, 533 nt
Filed under: Apostichopus californicus
Lineage: Eukaryota; Metazoa; Echinodermata; Holothuroidea; Aspidochirotida; Stichopodidae
Description: partial 16S ribosomal RNA
Rfam family: Bacterial large subunit ribosomal RNA
Source: RNAcentral
AGCCCCACGAACUUUCAUAUGUGGGGUGCAGCCUGCCCAGUGGAAUUUAUUCUAAACGGCCGCGGUAUUUUGACCGUGCAAAGGUAGCAUAAUCACUUGUCUCUUAAAUGGGGACCUGUAUGAAUGGCUUUUCACUCUUUCACUGUCUCUCUUCCCUCCCUCCUAAUCUUCUAAUCACGUGAAGAAGCGUGAACAAAAAAGAAAGACGAGAAGACCCUGUCGAGCUUAAGCUAACCCUGAAAUGUCAUCUACCUUUUAUUUCUUUGAAAAAGGUAAAUUUUAGAUAAAGCUUUGGUUGGGGCAACCGUGGAGAAAAAGAAUCCUCCAGUUAAUUAGGAAGAAAACAUUUCACCUAAAAAAUUUAGCGACCCAGUUAUUCUGGAAAACGGAAAAAGUUACCGCAGGGAUAACAGCGUUAUCUUCUCUAAGAGCCCAUAUUGACGAGAAGGAUUGCGACCUCGAUGUUGGAUUGGGGUAACCAAAGGGUGUAGCAGCUCUUUAAGGUUGGACUGUUCGUCCAUUAAUUCCCUACA